AUUGAACGCUGGCGGCAUGCCUUACACAUGCAAGUCGAACGGCAGCACGGGUGCUUGCACCUGGUGGCGAGUGGCGAACGGGUGAGUAAUACAUCGGAACGUACCUUAUCGUGGGGGAUAACGCAGCGAAAGCUGUGCUAAUACCGCAUACGCCCUGAGGGGGAAAGCGGGGGAUCGCAAGACCUCGCGCGAUUAGAGCGGCCGAUGCCUGAUUAGCUUGUUGGUGGGGUAAAAGCCCACCAAGGCGACGAUCAGUAGCUGGUCUGAGAGGACGAUCAGCCACACUGGGACUGGGACACGGCCCAGACUCCUACGGGAGGCAGCAGUGGGGAAUUUUGGACAAUGGGGGCAGCCCUGAUCCAGCAAUGCCGCGUGAGUGAAGAAGGCCUUCGGGUUGUAAAGCUCUUUUGUCCGGGAAGAAACACCGGCUCUAACACAGUCCGGGAAUGACGGUACCUGAAGAAUAAGCACCGGCUAACUACGUGCCAGCCGCCGCGGUAA
This 501-nucleotide ribosomal RNA is filed under the name uncultured bacterium. RNAcentral describes it as "partial 16S ribosomal RNA". It matches the Rfam family "Bacterial small subunit ribosomal RNA", at positions 29 to 523 of the family's 1533-position model. The record is from RNAcentral.